AGGCAUGCUUUGGCCCAAGGCCAUUUUUUUGUCCUCUCUGUAUGAAUGUGGCGAGGACGAGUAUAAAGCAUGCUAUAUGAACUUUUGGGAGUUAACAGGGCCACCAGUCUUUCAAGUCCAGGCUGAGUCGGUAGUAUAAUACUCCCACAGUG
Small nucleolar RNA from Poeciliopsis prolifica (blackstripe livebearer), 152 nucleotides. RefSeq annotates it as small nucleolar RNA U109. The record is from RefSeq and is a predicted model, not a curated record. NCBI's taxonomy places the organism in Eukaryota, Metazoa, Chordata, Actinopteri, Cyprinodontiformes, Poeciliidae. The transcript has a single exon.